This 833-nucleotide ribosomal RNA is filed under the name Nesterenkonia lacusekhoensis. RNAcentral's name for it is "bacterial SSU rRNA". It matches the Rfam family "Bacterial small subunit ribosomal RNA", at positions 25 to 863 of the family's 1533-position model. The record is from RNAcentral. Lineage: Bacteria; Bacillati; Actinomycetota; Actinomycetes; Micrococcales; Micrococcaceae.
CAGGAUGAACGCUGGCGGCGUGCUUAACACAUGCAAGUCGAACGAUGAAGCCGGGUGCUUGCACCCGGUGGAUUAGUGGCGAACGGGUGAGUAUCACGUGAGUAACCUGCCCUUGACUCUGGGAUAAGCCCGGGAAACCGGGUCUAAUACCGGAUACGACCAGUCACCGCAUGGUGUGCUGGUGGAAAGCUUUAGCGGUUUUGGAUGGACUCGCGGCCUAUCAGCUAGACGGUGAGGUAAUGGCUCACCGUGGCGAUGACGGGUAGCCGGCCUGAGAGGGUGACCGGCCACACUGGGACUGAGACACGGCCCAGACUCCUACGGGAGGCAGCAGUGGGGAAUAUUGCACAAUGGGCGAAAGCCUGAUGCAGCGACGCCGCGUGUGGGAUGACGGCCUUCGGGUUGUAAACCACUUUCAGCAGGGAAGAAGCUUUUUGUGACGGUACCUGCAGAAGAAGCGCCGGCUAACUACGUGCCAGCAGCCGCGGUAAUACGUAGGGCGCGAGCGUUAUCCGGAAUUAUUGGGCGUAAAGAGCUCGUAGGCGGUUUGUCGCGUCUGCUGUGAAAGCCCGGGGCUUAACCCCGGGUGUGCAGUGGGUACGGGCAGGCUAGAGUGCAGUAGGGGAGACUGGAAUUCCUGGUGUAGCGGUGAAAUGCGCAGAUAUCAGGAGGAACACCGAUGGCGAAGGCAGGUCUCUGGGCUGUUACUGACGCUGAGGAGCGAAAGCAUGGGGAGCGAACAGGAUUAGAUACCCUGGUAGUCCAUGCCGUAAACGUUGGGCACUAGGUGUGGGGGACAUUCCACGUUUUCCGCGCCGUAGCUAACGCAUUAA